Non-coding RNA from Orycteropus afer afer, 71 nucleotides. The record is from the annotation of a RefSeq genome assembly. Lineage: Eukaryota; Metazoa; Chordata; Mammalia; Tubulidentata; Orycteropodidae.
GAAGUGGUGGUUCAGUGGUAGGAUUUCUGCUUCUCAUGCAGAAGACCUGGGUUCAAUUCCCAGCCAAUGCA